UACUCGUUCCUGGCCCACUCCAGCCACUGGUGCACGUCUCCCUCCGUCCACGUCUGGGGGUCUAGGGAAUGUCAGAUAAUUAUACAAUCAGAAUUGUUGGUUCAACAUUAUAUCAUUUUAAGGUGUUUUUCGACCAAUAUCAUAUAAAGCUAAACAGGAAAAGAUCUCUUAUGAUGAUAAAUUGCAUAUUCAUGGGCAUCUCGACUUGUUAAAAUUUUCUUUUAGAUGGAUCCAAGGGCAAGAUUUACCUACCCAAAUACCAAAAUAAAAAUUCAUGUUAUAGUAAAUACCAGUAGUGUAUACAAAGUAU
This is a long non-coding RNA of Saccostrea cuccullata (small rock oyster), 310 nucleotides long. RefSeq lists it as uncharacterized. The transcript has 2 exons. The record is from RefSeq and is a predicted model, not a curated record. NCBI's taxonomy places the organism in Eukaryota, Metazoa, Mollusca, Bivalvia, Ostreida, Ostreidae.